UACGUAGGGCGCAAGCGUUGUCCGGAAUUAUUGGGCGUAAAGAGCUCGUAGGCGGCUUGUCACGUCGGGUGUGAAAGCCCGGGGCUUAACCCCGGGUCUGCAUCCGAUACGGGCAGGCUAGAGUGUGGUAGGGGAGAUCGGAAUUCCCGGUGUAGCGGUGAAAUGCGCAGAUAUCAGGAGGAACACCGGUGGCGAAGGCGGAUCUCUGGGCCAUUACUGACGCUGAGGAGCGAAAGCGUGGGGAGCGAACAGG
Molecule: ribosomal RNA, 253 nt
Filed under: uncultured bacterium
Lineage: Bacteria
Description: partial 16S ribosomal RNA
Rfam family: Bacterial small subunit ribosomal RNA
Source: RNAcentral